GUGUCAGCCGCCGCGGUAAUACGUAGGGUGCAGGCGUUAAUCGGAAUUACUGGGCGUAAAGCGUGCGCAGGCGGCUCCUUAAGUCAGAUGUGAAAGCCCCGGGCUUAACCUGGGAACUGCGUUUGAAACUGGGGAGCUAGAGUGUAGAAGAGGGGGGUGGAAUUCCAGGUGUAGCAGUGAAAUGCGUAGAGAUCUGGAGGAACACCGAUGGCGAAGGCAGCCCCCUGGGCUAACACUGACGCUCAUGCACGAAAGCGUGGGGAGCAAACAGGAUUAGAAACCCCCGUAGUCC
RNAcentral lists this ribosomal RNA (292 nucleotides) under uncultured bacterium. Its description in RNAcentral is "partial 16S ribosomal RNA". It matches the Rfam family "Bacterial small subunit ribosomal RNA", at positions 505 to 796 of the family's 1533-position model. The record is from RNAcentral.